UUAUGCUGAUAAGAGCGUAUGGUGGAUGCCUUGGCACUAAGAGCCGAUGAAAGACGUGAUAAGCUGCGAAAAGCUUCGGGGAGGGGCAAAUACCCAUUGAUCCGGAGAUUUCUGAAUGGGGAAACCUACCUGAGCAAACCUCAGGUAUCCUGACGCCAAUCCAUAACGUCAGGAAGGGAACCCGGUGAACUGAAACAUCUAAGUAGCCGGAGGAAGAGAAAACAACAUGUGAUUCUGUGAGUAGCGGCGAGCGAAAACGGAAGAGCCCAAACCGGGAUGCGUGCAUCCCGGGGUUCGGACCGCGGAAUUGAUUCAACAAGUUUAGCAGAACAGUUUUGGGAAAGCUGACCAAAGAGGGUGAAAGUCCCGUAAGCGAAAGGCGAGUUGACAUGGCGGUAUCCAGAGUAGGUCGAGACACGUGGAACCUUGACUGAAUAUGCGGGGACCACCCCGUAAGGCUAAAUACUCCUUAGUGACCGAUAGCGCAUAGUACUGUGAAGGAAAGGUGAAAAGGACCCCGGGAGGGGAGUGAAAGAGAACCUGAAACCCUGUGUUUACAAGCUGUCGAAGCACGUUAGUGCGACGGCGUACUUUUUGUAGAACGGUCCGGCGAGUUAUGAUACGCGGUAAGGUUAAGGACUUAAGGUCCGGAGCCGAAGCGAAAGCGAGUGUUAAGAGCACGAGGAAUCACGUAUCAUAGACCCGAAACCGGGUGAUCUAUCCAUGUCCAGGAUGAAGCUGCCGUAAGAGGUAGUGGAGGUCCGAACACACAUCCGUUGAAAAGGGUGGUGAUGAGGUGUGGAUAGGGGAGAAAUUCCAAUCGAACCCGGAGAUAGCUGGUUCUCCUCGAAAUAGCUUUAGGGCUAGCCUCGAUACAGAUUUGCGGAGGUAGAGCACUGAAUUUCCUAGGGGGCGUCAAAGCCUACCGAAGAAUAUCAAACUCCGAAUGCCGCGUAAUCGAUUAUCGGGAGUCAGACUGCACGAGAUAAGUUGGGCGGUCAAAAGGGAAAGAGCCCAGACCUUCAGUUAAGGUCCCAAAGUGCGCGUUAAGUGGAAAAGGAUGUGGGAUUUCGAAGACAACCAGGAUGUUGGCUCAGAAGCAGCCAUACAUUCAAAGAGUGCGUAAUAGCUCACUGGUCGAGAGGUCCUGCGCCGAAAAUGUCCGGGGCUGAAACACGACACCGAAGCUGUGGAAUUGACGAAUGUUAAUUGGUAGAGGAGCAUUCUUAGCGGGAUGAAGCAGUACCGAAAGGAGCUGUGGACUUCUAAGAAGAGAGAAUGCCGGAAUGAGUAGCGAGAGAGAGGUGAGAAUCCUCUCGGCCGAAUAUCUAAGGUUUCCAGAGUAAAGCUGAUCUGCUCUGGGUAAGUCGGGACCUAAGGCGAGGUCGAAAGACGUAGUCGAUGGAUAACAGGUUGAAAUUCCUGUACCGCAUAUAAACAGAACUGUGGGGACACAGACAGGGAAUGGAAUCCGGGGAUGGAGAACCCGGAGCAAGCGAGGUAGGAGUGCUGUUGGCAAAUCCGCAGCACGAUCUGAAGACGUGAUGCGUACCGAACAUAAGUAGGGAAGUCCAGGCCCCUGGCUGUCAAGAAAAGCCGCUAUUGUUUUAUAUGUGCCCGUACCGCAAACCGACACAGGUGGAUGAGGAGAGAAUCCUAAGGCCGACGGGAGAAGUAUUGUUAAGGAACUCGGCAAAAUGACUCCGUAACUUCGGGAGAAGGAGUGCCAUGAGAGUGGCCGCAGAGAAAUGGCCCAAGCAACUGUUUAGCAAAAACACAGGUCUAUGCAAAACCGCAAGGUGAAGUAUAUGGGCUGACGCCUGCCCGGUGCUGGAAGGUUAAGGGGAGAGGUUAGCGCAAGCGAAGCUUUGAACUUAAGCCCCAGUAAACGGCGGCCGUAACUAUAACGGUCCUAAGGUAGCGAAAUUCCUUGUCGGGUAAGUUCCGACCCGC
This 1953-nucleotide ribosomal RNA is filed under the name human gut metagenome. Its description in RNAcentral is "bacterial LSU rRNA". It matches the Rfam family "Bacterial large subunit ribosomal RNA", at positions 1 to 1991 of the family's 2925-position model. The record is from RNAcentral.